This 468-nucleotide ribosomal RNA is filed under the name uncultured bacterium. RNAcentral describes it as "partial 16S ribosomal RNA". It matches the Rfam family "Bacterial small subunit ribosomal RNA", at positions 28 to 507 of the family's 1533-position model. The record is from RNAcentral.
GACGAACGCUGGCGGCGUGCUUAACACAUGCAAGUCGAACGGAAAGGCCCUGCUUUUGUGGGGUGCUCGAGUGGCGAACGGGUGAGUAACACGUGAGUAACCUGCCCUUGACUUUGGGAUAACUUCAGGAAACUGGGGCUAAUACCGGAUAGGAGCUCCUGCUGCAUGGUGGGGGUUGGAAAGUUUCGGCGGUUGGGGAUGGACUCGCGGCUUAUCAGCUUGUUGGUGGGGUAGUGGCUUACCAAGGCUUUGACGGGUAGCCGGCCUGAGAGGGUGACCGGCCACAUUGGGACGGAGAUACGGCCCAGACUCCUACGGGAGGCAGCAGUGGGGAAUAUUGCACAAUGGGCGGAAACCUGAUGCAGCAACGCCGCGUGCGGGAUGACGGCCUUCGGGUUGUAAACCGCUUUCGCCUGUGACGAAGCGUGAGUGACGGUAAUGGGUAAAGAAGCACCGGCUAACUACGUG